Molecule: transfer RNA, 73 nt
Filed under: Flavihumibacter soli
Lineage: Bacteria; Pseudomonadati; Bacteroidota; Chitinophagia; Chitinophagales; Chitinophagaceae
Description: tRNA-Cys
Rfam family: tRNA
About the family: Transfer RNA (tRNA) molecules are approximately 80 nucleotides in length. Their secondary structure includes four short double-helical elements and three loops (D, anti-codon, and T loops).
Source: RNAcentral
GGUCGGGUGGCCGAGUGGUUAGGCGAAGGUCUGCAAGACCUUUUACAGGUUGGUUCGAACCCCCUUCCGACCU